Molecule: ribosomal RNA, 245 nt
Filed under: uncultured Eubacteriales bacterium
Lineage: Bacteria; Bacillati; Bacillota; Clostridia; Eubacteriales
Description: uncultured Clostridiales bacterium partial 16S ribosomal RNA
Rfam family: Bacterial small subunit ribosomal RNA
Source: RNAcentral
UACGUAGGUGGCGAGCGUUAUCCGGAAUUACUGGGUGUAAAGGGUGUGUAGGCGGGUAUUCAAGUCAGGCGUGAAAAUCAUGGGCUUAACCCAUGACUUGCGCUUGAGACUGUAUAUCUUGAGUGUGGGAGAGGUAAGUGGAAUUCCUAGUGUAGCGGUGAAAUGCGUAGAUAUUAGGAGGAACACCGGUGGCGAAGGCGACUUACUGGACCAUAACUGACGCUGAGACACGAAAGCGUGGGGAG